GGUGAACGCUGGCGGCGUGCUUAACACAUGCAAGUCGAACGGAAAGGCCCUGCUUUUGUGGGGUGCUCGAGUGGCGAACGGGUGAGUAACACGUGAGUAACCUGCCCUUGACUUUGGGAUAACUUCAGGAAACUGGGGCUAAUACCGGAUAGGAGCUCCUGCUGCAUGGUGGGGGUUGGAAAGUUUCGGCGGUUGGGGAUGGACUCGCGGCUUAUCAGCUUGUUGGUGGGGUAGUGGCUUACCAAGGCUUUGACGGGUAGCCGGCCUGAGAGGGUGACCGGCCACAUUGGGACUGAGAUACGGCCCAGACUCCUACGGGAGGCAGCAGUGGGGAAUAUUGCACAAUGGGCGGAAGCCUGAUGCAGCAACGCCGCGUGCGGGAUGACGGUCUUCGGGUUGUAAACCGCUUUCGCCUGUGACGAAGCGUGAGUGACGGUAAUGGGUAAAGAAGCACCGGCUAACUACGUG
Molecule: ribosomal RNA, 468 nt
Filed under: uncultured bacterium
Lineage: Bacteria
Description: partial 16S ribosomal RNA
Rfam family: Bacterial small subunit ribosomal RNA
Source: RNAcentral